Molecule: ribosomal RNA, 1052 nt
Filed under: Pelicinus marmoratus
Lineage: Eukaryota; Metazoa; Arthropoda; Arachnida; Araneae; Oonopidae
Description: partial 28S ribosomal RNA
Rfam family: Eukaryotic large subunit ribosomal RNA
Source: RNAcentral
UUAGUAACGGCGAGCGAACAGGGAGUAGUCCAGCGCCGAAUUCCACGUUCUUUGUGGACGUUAGGAAAAUGUGGCGUUUAGGAGGUCGUGUGCCGUGGUUGGACUCUGCAGCAAGUCCCCCUGACCGGGGCAGUUACCCAGAGUGGGUGCGAGGCCCAUAGCUGCUAGGUCUGCUUCGGAUGCGAUCUCUUGGGAGUCGGGUUGCUUGGGAGUGCAACCCCAAUCGGGUGGUAAACUCCACCUAAGACUAAAUACGGCCGUGAGACCGAUAGCAAACAAGUACCGUGAGGGAAAGUUGCAAAGAACUUUGAAGAGAGAGUUCAAGAGUACGUGAAACUGCUCAGAGGCAAACGGGUGGGCCCUCGAAAUCCCUUGGCAGGGGGAUUCAGUUUGGAAGGACUUGGGCGACGUGUGCUUUGGUACCCUGUAUGGGGGCCGAGCGUGCUGUUGCGGUCUGGGUCCGACCUGACGCAUUUCUUCCUGCACUGGGACGCCGCAUCCGGUUGGGUAGCUGCGUGAGUCGGCCAUGUGGGCGAGCGCUGGAAGGUGGCCGGUGGUGGGGCCCUGCUCUGCCGCCGGUUGUUAGCCGGUUCGCUUGUGGCACGACACCCGACCGAGGUUAAGUAGUUCCCUUGUGGGAACUUGCCGUCUCCUUCGUCUCCUCGGAAGCGGAUGCUCCGGCAGGUGCGUCGCGUCUGUGCUGCUCUACUGUCUGUAGUGUGCUGGUGCGGCGUGUGCUCUGUUUGCUGGUUGCUACCGCGGGGGUGCUUACGGCUGGCGGCGAUAUCGUCGGUCACCCACCCGACCCGUCUUGAAACACGGACCAAGGAGUCUAACAUGUGCGCGAGUCAGUGGGUCUUGAACAGGCCCAGAGGCGCAAUGAAAGUGAAGGUCGUCGUCUUCUGGUCGUCGACCGUGUUGGGAUCUCUCGUCCUCCGUGGCGGGAAAGCACCAACGAUCCGUCCCGUUCGAUUCAUCGGAGGGGCGGAAUCGGAGCGCACACGUUGGGACCCGAAAGAUGGUGAACUAUGCCUGGGCAGGAUGAAGCCAGA